GUGCUCACUUUGGCAGCACAUACACUAAAAUCGGAGUGAUAUGGAGAUUAGCAUGGCUCCUGAUCAAGGAUGACAUGCAAAUUCAUGAAGUGUUCCAUAUUUAA
Molecule: small nuclear RNA, 104 nt
Organism: Manis javanica (Malayan pangolin)
Lineage: Eukaryota; Metazoa; Chordata; Mammalia; Pholidota; Manidae
Source: RefSeq, a predicted model, not a curated record